GAUGAACGCUGGCGGCGUGCCUAAUACAUGCAAGUCGAGCGAACAGACGAGGAGCUUGCUCCUCCGACGUUAGCGGCGGACGGGUGAGUAACACGUGGAUAACCUACCUAUAAGACUGGGAUAACUUCGGGAAACCGGAGCUAAUACCGGAUAAUAUAUUGAACCGCAUGGUUCAAUAGUGAAAGACGGUUUUGCUGUCACUUAUAGAUGGAUCCGCGCCGCAUUAGCUAGUUGGUAAGGUAACGGCUUACCAAGGCAACGAUGCGUAGCCGACCUGAGAGGGUGAUCGGCCACACUGGAACUGAGACACGGUCCAGACUCCUACGGGAGGCAGCAGUAGGGAAUCUUCCGCAAUGGGCGAAAGCCUGACGGAGCAACGCCGCGUGAGUGAUGAAGGUCUUCGGAUCGUAAAACUCUGUUAUUAGGGAAGAACAAAUGUGUAAGUAACUAUGCACGUCUUGACGGUACCUAAUCAGAAAGCCACGGCUAACUACAUG
RNAcentral lists this ribosomal RNA (497 nucleotides) under uncultured bacterium. RNAcentral describes it as "partial 16S ribosomal RNA". It matches the Rfam family "Bacterial small subunit ribosomal RNA", at positions 28 to 507 of the family's 1533-position model. The record is from RNAcentral.